Molecule: long non-coding RNA, 494 nt
Organism: Rhinopithecus roxellana (golden snub-nosed monkey)
Lineage: Eukaryota; Metazoa; Chordata; Mammalia; Primates; Cercopithecidae
Exons: 3
Source: RefSeq, a predicted model, not a curated record
CAUGUCUGUGUAGGCUGAGGAGCUUGUUCCCCGAGUGAGGGUGGAGACGUGGUCGCUGGGCGGCGUCCGCCAUUUUGUCUGGUGAAAGUUGGAGAGGGAGGGUCCAGGGACAAGCGAGACUCCCACCUCUGGCCUCAUCCUCAGCCCUGCGUUUUCCCCACUUGUACUGCCAGAAAGCUGAUUGGUGGCAGUCACUUCUGGAGUCUUCCUGAGACGAUCCACCAAUAUGAAGUAAACUCGAGGAGAUUCUUAGGUCAAGACAAAGCAUAAACAAUCAACCCCGACAGAAAAAUCUGAAGAACAAUUACAAGGUGUAACUCAGGAGAUUUUCCCAGGAGGCAAUCCAGAGGAGUUUGAGUUUCGAUCAGCUUGUAGGAUUGAGACAGGAGCAGAAUAUUGCUGGAAAAAAUUCACAAUAAAGACCAGGAUGGCCGUGCGCGGUGGCUCACGCCUGUAAUCCCAGCAUUUUGGGAGGCUGAGGUGGGUGGAUCAUG